Camellia sinensis is the source of this 3243-nucleotide RNA transcript. It is a transcript of the gene named Phototropic-responsive NPH3 family protein, with no coding region annotated. NCBI's taxonomy places the organism in Eukaryota, Viridiplantae, Streptophyta, Magnoliopsida, Ericales, Theaceae. The record is from RefSeq and is a predicted model, not a curated record.
CAACGCUGCUUUCAUCGGUUCCACGCUCUCUCGAUGAUUGCACCCAAACCGUUCGACAAAAAGCCCCACUCACUCACCCACUCUCUCUCUCUCUCUCUCUCUUCUUUCUUUCUUUUGUCUAGAAAAAGCAAUAUCAUCAUCAUCAUUACCCAUGUCUUCCUGUUCUCUCCUUCUUCCAUUCCACGGCCGGCCUAAAGCUUCAAUCACACUCUACACACAGACACGUAUUUAUAUUUAUAUAAUUGUAUAUUUGUUUGAAUAGGCUCUUCUUGUAGUGCUUGUUGUUUGUGUUGUUAAGUACUAUGUCCAAAAAAAAAAAAACUUCCCAAAUUCGAAUCUGACAGAUUGGCACUUCCUCUCUUCAUAUUAAUAAAUCCUCUCAUGGGGUUGCUGUGAUCUAUGCGUUUCCUUUUCAAUAAUAUUAUUGCCCAUGAUGCCAUCAAAUUCAACUUUUUAUAUCUACCUGUAAAGAUCCUCCAUUGCUCUCUCUAUAUGACCUGGGAUUGACUAAAGUGGACUGGGUUUCAAAGGAUUGUUUGGUUGGUGGCCUAGUUUUUGAUUUCUUAGAAUUUGGGUGUUUGAUGAUUUUGAUUGAAUUGGGGUCUGUUGAACAGAGAGAAGGGUGUGUCUGUUACUGGGUCACUCAUGGCUCCUUCUGGGAAGGUGAUUGUGUUCUACCGUGAGGGAAACGACUGGUUCUGCAAUGCAGGUUUGCCGAGCGAUAUCACUAUAGCUGUAGACGGAGCAAACUUCCAUCUACACAAGUUUCCUCUAAUGUCAAAAUGUGGAAAGAUAGCAAAAAUAAUUGAAGAAUCUCAAAGUGCCCAUGAGGGGACUUUCACAAUGACUCUUGAAGGAUUCCCUGGUGGCCCCGACACUUUCUUGCUUGCUGCUAAAUUCUGCUAUGGUGUCCGAAUAGAAUUUACAGCAAGAAACAUCAUAAUGGUGUAUUGUGCAGCGGACUAUCUUGAAAUGACUGAUGAGUAUGGAGAAGAUAACUUGCAUUCCAGGUCGGAGAGUUUCUUCCAUAAGAAUGUUCUGCGGAACUGGAAAGAUUGUAUUUUGGCUCUUCAAAGUUCUGAACCUGUGAUAACAAAAGCCGAGGAGCUCCAAAUCAUUAGCAAGUGCUUGAGCGCUGUAUCUAUGAUGGUUUGUACGGAUCCUAGUUUGUUUGGAUGGCCUAUGAUGAUGUAUGGUAGUUUACAGAGUCCUGGAGGAAGUAUCCUGUGGAACGGAAUAAACACUGGUGCCAGAAUCCGAAGCUCUGAAUCUGACUGGUGGUUUGAAGACAUCUCAUAUCUCAGUGUGCAUUUGUUUCAGAAACUUAUUCAGACUAUGGUAGCAAGAGGCAUAAGACCUGAAAACUUGGCUGGUGCUAUAAUGUAUUACGCUAAAAAGUACCUUCCAGGCUUGAGCCGAUGGCAGGGUGGACAAAGUACCAAAACUAGAACAGUUACAAGUUUCAGCAUGACACCGGCUGCUGUAGAUCAGAGGGUCCUUUUGGAAAGUAUUGCAAAGUUGCUCCCCGAAAAGAAGGGGAAAUCUUUUUGCCGUUUUCUAUUGGGACUUCUUCGUGUCGCUUUGAUAUUAGGUGUUAACGACACGUGCCAAGAUUCUUUGGAGAAGAGAAUAGGGAUGCAACUUGAACUUGCAACCCUUGAUAGUCUGCUGAUACCUAGUUAUUCAGAUUCUGAUACUUUGUAUAAUACUGACAGUGUGGAGCGGAUUAUUCGUCAUUUUACAUCUGUAGAACCAAGUGUAACUUCAUUUUCGCCAGCAUCAUUUGACCUAGAAACUUCACCAUCAUUUGGACCUUUAAAGAAAGUAGCAAGGUUGAUAGAUAGUUAUAUGGCUGAGGUUGCUUCUGAUGUGAACUUGAAACCUGGAAAGAUACGUGCACUUGCAGAGGCCCUUCCAGAAUCUUCAAGAUCUUUGCAUGAUGGGCUAUACAGAGCACUUGAUAUAUAUUUCAAGGGACACCCUUGGCUGCAGGAGAAAGAGAAGGAGCAACUCUGCAAUAUCAUUGACUUCCAGAAAUUAUCUAUUGAUGCUUGUGCACAUGCUUCUCAAAACGAAAGGUUGCCACUUAGAGUUAUUCUUCAAGUCCUGUUCUUUGAGCAAUUGCACUUGAGAACAGCUCUAGCAGGCUGUCUUCAUGUCUUAGAUGCAGAUACUGCUCCUACAGGUCCUACGAACAUCCCUACUGACAUGGCAGGUCAGAUCAUACAGAGAGAUGGAUGGGUAUCAGUGGUGCGUGAAAACCAGGUUUUAAAGGUGGACAUGGAAAACAUGAGGUCUAGAGUUGGAGAACUUGAAGAAGAAUUUAGUAAAAUAAAGCAAGAGAUGAAAAGGGUGACCAAAUCACAUAGUUCCUUAAGUUCUCCCCGCUUUGUUGCUCAGAGGAUGGGGUGCAAGCGCAUUCCACGAUCAUCCGAUGCUCAACUGGAUGUCAUUGAAAGCACGGGGCCCACUCCAAGACCAUCAGAUGUUGGAAGCACUUCAAGACCAUCAGAUGUUGGAAGCACUCCAAGAUCAUCAGUUGAGCAGGCACGACCUUCCCAUCACUCCAGACAUCGCAAAAGUUUCUCUUUGUUGUGAGUGCUAUGACAAGAAAGAAACUAAAUCUAUGUUUUGAAAGGGUUGAGAAGUACAGGAGGGUGAAAGCAAUGCUUUCGCAUCAAAGGAGCAAAAAGAAAAAAAGGUUGGCCAGACUAGAAGUCAUCACUGAUCCUUGAUUUGGACAUACAGGUAUGUGCAGCUAUACGCUACUAUGGAUACACACAUGCUGUUCUUAGGGGAGGGUUUGACAGCUCUUUGAAAGAACUUGCAAGUUUGUGGAAAGGUGGGAAGACAAAGAAGGUUUUUGGUUGGCUUUGUUUUCAGUUUGGUAUUGUGGGAUCUUUCACACCAAAGGUUUGUCAUACUAGUUUGGCCUGCCUUUUUUUUGGCUUAAGUGAUUUUUUUCCCCUCCCAACUUUAGUCAUUUUCUUAAAUUGUUUUUUAGUUUCUAGGUGUUUUGGUAGAUUAGGUGUCCUUAAAUUUUAAAAAGAAAAAAAGAAAAAAGGUCCAUGACAAAAAAAGGGAGCACAUUUUGUGGGGCUUUUUUUUUAGCCCUUUUUAUAAAUCUAUUCAUUAGAUUUAUAUAAAAAAAAAAAAACUAUAAAAAAAAUUUAAAACUAGAAAAAGUUGUUGCCAAACUAAUACUACUUGUGCACAGCAUAAGGUCAGGUUUAUAAUUUUCCA